AGAGUUUGAUCCUGGCUUAGAGCGAACGCUGGCGGCAGGCCUAACACAUGCAAGUCGAACGGAUCCUUCGGGAUUAGUGGCGGACGGGUGAGUAACACGUGGGAACGUGCCUUUUGGUUCGGAACAACUCAGGGAAACUUGAGCCAAUACCGAAUGUGCCCUUCGGGGGAAAGAUUUAUCGCCAUUAGAGCGGCCCGCGUCUGAUUAGCUAGUUGGUGAGAUAAAGGCUCACCAAGGCUACGAUCAGUAGCUGGUCUGAGAGGAUGAUCAGCCACAUUGGGACUGAGACACGGCCCAAACUCCUACGGGAGGCAGCAGUGGGGAAUCUUGCGCAAUGGGCGAAAGCCUGACGCAGCCAUGCCGCGUGAAUGAUGAAGGUCUUAGGAUUGUAAAAUUCUUUCACCGGGGACGAUAAUGACGGUACCCGGAGAAGAAGCCCCGGCUAACUUCGUG
Molecule: ribosomal RNA, 453 nt
Filed under: uncultured bacterium
Lineage: Bacteria
Description: bacterial SSU rRNA
Rfam family: Bacterial small subunit ribosomal RNA
Source: RNAcentral